RNAcentral lists this transfer RNA (72 nucleotides) under Camelus bactrianus (Bactrian camel). It matches the Rfam family "tRNA". From Rfam's summary of the family: Transfer RNA (tRNA) molecules are approximately 80 nucleotides in length. Their secondary structure includes four short double-helical elements and three loops (D, anti-codon, and T loops). Further hydrogen bonds mediate the characteristic L-shaped molecular structure. tRNAs have two regions of fundamental functional importance: the anti-codon, which is responsible for specific mRNA codon recognition, and the 3' end, to which the tRNAs corresponding amino acid is attached (by aminoacyl-tRNA synthetases). tRNAs cope with the degeneracy of the genetic code in two manners: having more than one tRNA (with a specific anti-codon) for a particular amino acid; and 'wobble' base-pairing, i.e. permitting non-standard base-pairing at the 3rd anti-codon position. RNAcentral also lists the same sequence under 2 other names. Lineage: Eukaryota; Metazoa; Chordata; Mammalia; Artiodactyla; Camelidae. The record is from Rfam by way of RNAcentral.
GAGGAUAUAGCUCAGUCGUAGGGUGUGUGCUUAGCAUGCACGAGGUCCUGGGUUCAAUUCCCAGUACCUCCG